This 7715-nucleotide long non-coding RNA is filed under the name Olea europaea subsp. europaea. Lineage: Eukaryota; Viridiplantae; Streptophyta; Magnoliopsida; Lamiales; Oleaceae. The record is from RNAcentral.
UAUUCAUCCCACCUAUUCCAAAACCCUAAUCAUUUUCCUAUUCUCUUCCCUCUCUCUAUCCUCUACCCUAUAUUCUCUCUCUCUAACAUCUUUCAUUCUCUUCCAUCUCCAGAUUUCGAAAACUUUCGUUGGAUGUCACCUUGGAUGUCGUUGCCCCGAUGACAAGUCAUCGUUGCCCGCGGUGUUAGCGACGCUGUGUAGCAGCCACUGUACACAUUGUGACAUCAUUGCUGUAGUGCGACGAUGCGUAGCGGUGAAUGAUGGGGGAUCUAGGGAAAAUUUGGUUGCAAUUUGGUGCUGGAAUUUUGUUGGUCGUGUGAAUUUUUUUGGUCGCGAUAUUGGGAAAUUUUGGUCAAGAUCUGAUCGCGAUUUGGUGCCCGAAAAAUUUGGAUUGAUUUUUGUUGGUUUUGUGUAGUUGUGGUGGUGGCUGUAUUUGUGGUGGUAUUUGCGGUGCUCUGAGGUAAUGGCGAAGUUGGUGGUGCUAGUUGUUUUUUGGUAGAGGCGAAGGAAAUGGUGGAUUUGAGGUGGUCGUGUUGGAAUAAUUAAUAAUUUCAUACGUGGGCUUCACAUUCGAUUGUAAAUUUUACCGGUUAGAUGUAUAGUUCAUAAUGAUAUUUGUGUUUUGACCAAAUUUAUUAAGUGAUCAAUUGUGCAUUUUAUACCUUACGGGUUAUAAUUAAUUUGAUGUGGCAAUUUAAAGUAUGUGGGUCGAAAAUAAACCCUAAUUAGAAUUCUAGUCGUAAUGGGGCGGUUCAAUUAUUUCCUAUAUAAAGGCUAUGUCCCCUCUCCUCUCCAUAAGUCUUUUAUUGGCUUGUCCCAUUGAUAACUAAUACUUUUGUGAGGAGUAAGGAGGGAAAGAUCUUGAUUGCUAUUACAACUAUCAUUCAUAUCAACAAUGACUUCAGAAGGUAAGAAUUUGUUUUAUUAAUUCAUUAUUUGGUGAUUCUUGAUUCUUAGUAUAAUUACAAAUAAAUUUCAACAAUUGGUAUCAGAGCUUAAUGCUAAAAUCAGAAUCCAUCAUUAAAACAAUAUGUAUUCUCUGACUGAAUAAUUCUAAAGUUUCUGCUGCCCGUCGAUUUAAAUCUUUGGAAUUGUUAUGUUUUCAAAGUUUUGAAAUAAAUAAAAAUAAAAUAAAAUAAAAUUAAUACGUUGAAGCGGCGCCGUGGUGGUUGAUUGAUUGUAGGAGUUGUUGACUGGAAUAAUCAACUGCCUUUAUUACCACCACCAUCAUCCCCUAUUCAUUGUGUUCAAUGUGUUGUGGACUUGUGGUGAUGUCAGAUUUUGAUUGCAUCAAUUGGUUUUCAUUUAUGAGAUUUACUAUUUCUCAACUUCUGUUUGAUUCUAGAUUUAUCAAAUCAUGCUAUUCAAUUUUGAACACGAUCUAAAGUCUUAUUUUCACGUUUUUCCUUUUUAAUUUAUUUUCUUUCUCGAUUUUCUCAAUUCCAACUUAUUACAGAGUUAAUAUGAUCUAAAAAUUUGUUUCACGUAGGAAAUUCAGCAUUUUUAUCUACAUGUGAAUGUCUUAUGGUGGUUUUAUAUUGAUGUUAGACGAUAAAAUUUCAAUGUGAUAAACAUCAAUGUAAAUUCCUGUGGAUAAUUGCAUGAUUUGCCUAUUAGACUCGUGACAAUACCAGAUUCUCAUGAACAACAUUGAAAUAAGAGCCUAAGCUUAGCGUUAUUCUUUAGAUGUUCAUGAGCUUAAAUUUGACCCGUUCAAAAUUAUAUUGAAAAUAAUAAUAAUAAUUAACGACUUUUAUAUUUUCGUUGAAAUAUUUAAUUCAACUGUUGUUAUUAUUUGUUUAUUUAAAUUUCGUCUUUUUAAAUAUUGAAAUUUUGUUGUCCAUUUUGUAUCUCAAUCACAUAUAAAUUUUGCCUUUUAUCGAUUAAUUAUUAUGAUUUGUUGCAUAAUUAUUGUUUUGUGAUUGAUUUUUCAUGGGCUUCAAGACGAUUCUUAUUUUCUCACUGAUGGAGAAAUGCUUAGAAAUAAAAAUGGGUGGUAGCUGCCAAAUUGGCACACUCAUUAUUAUUUAUUCGAUUUUCUCUACAACAAAAAUAUAUAUAUUUUUAUCCAACAAUUUUAAUUUAUUGCAUAUAAUAUCUUGUCCAAAGGUAUUAUUAUAUGUGAUAUUUUUCGAAAAAUGGCAUAAGGCAGUUAACGAUCUUAUUUUGAUCUAGAAAUUUCCUUCGGUCCAAAGGUGUUGGUGUUUCAAAAACUAAUGUAGUUUUGUUAACUGGCUACAUGAUGUGUUUUAAGAAUACCUUAAAGCAUGUUGUAUUUUUGACUCAAAUGUGACUUUAUGAUGAUGAUGCAUCUAGGCUCUUACCGUAAUGAAAUUCAUAUAUUUCGAUUCAAAUCACGGAUUAUCUAAUUAAUAGCCCAUAUUAAUUAGUUAGAUACUUCAUCAUCCAUUUGAUUGCAUGCAUUAUGUUUGGAUGAUAUUAAGAGUGAUAUUUUAUGUUUCCACAGUUUAUAAUGUCUUAUCUCUUUCGAACCAAUUGUCUGCUAUUGAAACCUUGACUGGGAAUAAUUAUUGAGAUGGAAACGAGACGUAGAAAUAACAUUUGGUCUUUUGGGCUUGAAUUUUGUAAUGGAGAAAAAGUUUGAGAAAAUCACAGAUAAGAGUACUAUUGAAUAUGUAGCCGAGUAUGAAAAGUGGGAAAGGGCUAACAAACUUUGUUUGAAAAUCAUUAAGUGAGCGAUAUCUGAUUCUAUUUUAGGUGUCAUCUCCGAUAAUGAAAAUGCCAAAAAUUUUAUGGAUGCCAUAGGAGAAAAAUUUAUUGAGUUUGAUAAAGCUGAAAUUGGGGAUAUGAUGGAUAAAUUGAUGAGCAUGAAAUAUGAUGAUACAAGUGGUGUUAGGGAACAUGUCAUGAAAAUGAUAAACAUAUCAUCUAAACUAAAGGCUCUUAACGUUCCAUUGCGGAACCUUUCCUGGUCUAUCAUGUUUUAAAUAGUCUUCCUAGCCAAUUUAAUCAGUUUAAAGUUGCUUACAAUGCUCAGUGGGAUAAGUGAAAUUUGAAUGACCUCAUAGCAGUGUGUGCCCAAAAAGAGUAUAGGAUGCACCGUGAAACUAUUGAAACUGUACAAUUAGCCUUUCAGCCAUCAUAGAAUAAGGGGCCUUCUCAUAACCAUAAACUUAAGUUUCGUAAAGGUAAUAAGUCUCAUCGAAGUCAACAGAAUAAAAAUUUUAGUUGUCCCAAAGGAGUUAUAAAGAAAAAUGAUCAAUGCAAGUUCUGUAAAAAAAAGGGUCACUGGCAAAAAGAUUGUUUUAAAUUUAAGACUUGGUCGGAAAAGAAUAAGAGUGGCCUUAGUUUGUUUUGAGUCUUCUUUAAUAGAUGUGCCUUUGAAUUCUUGGUGGUUACACUCGGGAGUUAGUAUUCAUAUUGCGAAUUCCUUGCAGGGGUUCACAAACAAACGGAGACCAAGUGAGAAUGAAGUGAGCUUUAGCGUUGCAAAUGGAGUUCAAGUGAUGGUUGAAUUCAUAGGAGUAGUGAAGUUGACUUUAGAGUCUAGUUUCUCUCUUGUUUUAGAAAAUACAGUUUAUGUACUGCAAAUGAGAUGAACUUUAAUUUCUAUAUCGAAACUUGAUGCUUGUGGUUUUACAUUUAAUUUUGGUAAUGGAAUGGUUAAGUUAUUUAAUGAUUCUCGUUUGAUUGGAAAUGACAUUUUAUGUGAUGGUUUAUAUAAAUUAUCUUUGUCUCCUUUUGGUGAUGUCUCAUGUGUUACUAAUGAAUUAAAAAAAAAACUUUAAUUCGUGAAUCAUCCUCUAUAUUGUGGCAUAAGCGUUUGAGUCAUAUCUCUAAGGAUAUAAUGGAAAGAUUAGUAAAAGAUGAGAUACUUCCCUCCUUAGACUUCUCCAAUUUUGACACCUGUGUAGAUUGUAUAAGAGGAAAGUUAACUAAGUCUACGAGGAAGGGUUCGACUAGGAGUAAUGGAAUUUUGGAUUUAAUUCACACUGGUAUCAAUGGACCUUUGCCUUCCACUAUAUGUGGGAAUAAAUAUUUCAUAACUUUCGUUGAUAAUUUCUCACGAUAUGGAUAUGUUUACUUGAUUAACGAUAAAUCAAAUGCAUUUGAGAAAUUUAAAGUUUUCAAACUGGAAUUAGAGAAACAAUGUGGGAAAAGUAUCAAAGUUGUAAGGUUUGACCGUGGAAGUGAGUACUAUGGGAAAUAUGACGAGUCUGGUCAAAAUAUGAGUGAUUUUGUAAAGUUUUUACAAGAGUGUUGAAUAGUGCCCCAAUAUACCAUAUCAGGGACACCUGAACAGAAUGGUGUUUCUAAAAGACGUAAUCGAACUCUAAAAAAUAUAGAUAGAAGUAUGAUGAGUAGAACAAAUUUGCCUGAAUAUUUGUGGAGUGAAGCCUUGAAAACAGUUAUAUAUAUUUUUAACAGAGUUCCAAGUAAAGCUGUUGCAAAGACAUCUUUUGAAUUAUGGACAGGACGUAAGCCAAGUAUGGCUCACUUUAAAGUUUGGGAUGUCCAACUGAGGUUAUGAUUUAUAAUCCAUUUGAAAAGAAAUUAGACCCUAAAUCAACUCCUGACUACUUUAUUGGGUAUUCAGAUAGAUCAAAGGGAUAUAAGUUUUACUGUCCAAAUCACGGCACUAGAAUUGUGAAGUUCAUUAUUGCUAAGUUUCUAGAGAACGAUUUUGGAGAUAGUGGGAGUUCUACGUUGAGAGAAAUUCUUGUUGAACCUAAUCAAGUUGUUGUUCCAGUUCCUGUCAUACAGGAAAGAGUUGGUUCUCAACCAAUUGAAAUUGUUAAUGAAAAACCGAUGAACUAGGAGGAAUCUCCAUUUCCUCAAACAAUGAUUGAAUCGGUUCUUGAACCACAAGUUAGGAGAUCACAAAGGAAAAGAAGAUCUGCAUUGCCCAAUGAUUAUAUUACAUAUUUAUUGGAGAGCGAUUUUAAUAUUGGGCACAUUGUUGAUUCUGUAACUUAUAACCAAGCAUUGACAAGUCCUGAGGCAGAUAAAUGGAUAGCUGCCAUGGAAGAUGAAAUGAAUUCUAUGGAAAUGAAUAAAGUUUGGGAUCUUGUUGAACUUCUUCCAUAUACUAAGACUGUAGAUAACAAGUGGAUUUUCAAAAGUAAAUUAGAUUCAAAAGGAAAUGUUGAACGAAAGAAAACAAGAUUGGUUGCAAAAGGUUUCACUCAGCGAGAGGGCUUUGAUUAUGUUGAAACCUUCUCACCUGUUUCGUCGAAAGAUUCUUUUCGAAUUAUCAUAGUUCUUGUGACACACUACAAUUUGGAGCUUCAUCAAAUGGAUAUUAAGACGACAUUUUUGAAUGGAGAUCUUUCUGAAAUGGUUUAUAUGAAACAACCUGAAGGUUUUGUUGUGAAAUGAAAAGAAAACUUGGUAUGUAAGUUAAACAAAUCCUUAUAUGGUCUCAAGCAAGCAUCUCGACAGUGGUAUUUGAAAUUUGAUGAGGUUGUGACCUCUCUUGGUUUUGUUGAAAAAAACUAUUGAUCAAUGCAUUUAUCUUAAAACCAGUGAGAGAAAUUUUAUUUUCUUUGUACUGUAUGUUGAUGACAUUCUGCUUGCUGACAGUAACUUAGGGUUGCUUCAUGAGACAAAGAAAAUGUUGUCUGCUAAUUUUGAGAUGAAAGAUCUUGAAAAAGCUUCCUAUGUACUUGACAUUGAAAUACAUCGUGAUAAAAAUCAUGGCUUAUCGGGACUUUCUCAGAAAGCUUAUAUACGAUGUGUUCUAGAAAUGUUUAAUAUGCAAAAUUGUGUACCUGGUGAUGUACCUAUCAUAAAAGGAGAUAAAUUUAACAAAACUCAAUGUCCAAGGAAUGAGUUAGAAAGGGAAUCUAUGAAGAUGAUUCCAUAUGCUAGUGCUGUGGGGAGCUUGAUGUAUACUCAAGUGUGCAUUAGACUGGAUUUAGCCUACGCAGUAAGUGUCCUUAACAGAUUUCAAUCUAAUCCAGGACAAGAGCAUUGAAAAGCAGUUAAGAAAGUUAUGAGAUAUUUGAAGAAAAUUAAAAGUUAUAUGCUUAUAUUCCAGCAUACAAAUCAUCUUGAGGUGGUAGGAUAUUCAGAUUCUGAUUUUGUUGGAUGUCAAGAUGAUUUGAAAUCAACCUCAGGUUAUAUUUUUACAUUAGCUGGUGGUGCCAUUUCUUGGAAAAGUGCUAAUAGACUCUAGUGGUAUUUUUUACUAUGCAAGCUGAAUUUGUGACAUGUUAUGGGGCUACAGUCCAAGUCGUUUGGUUAAGAAAUUUCAUCUCUGGCUUGAAAGUUGUUGAUUCCAUCUCAAGAUCGAUCACCAUCUACUGUGAUAACAGUGCAACAGUAUUCUUUUCAAAGAAUAAUAAAAGUUCUGGUGGGUCAAAACAUAUUGAUAUCAAAUAUUUGGUUGUUAGAGACAGAGUCAAAGAAGGGUAGACGAAAAUAAAGCAUAUCAAUACAGAGGCAAUGAUUGCAGACCCUUUGAUUAAGGGACUCGCUCUAAAAGUCCAUCAGACGCAUGUUAUUAAUAUGGGUAUUGUGGAAACAUUUGAUGUUUUUGGUUAGUGAAAGUUAUUUAUGUUAAGAACUACGUUUUGGGUUUGAUCCCUUUGCGGGGUACGUAGGCAACCCAUAUGUUUUCGGGUACAACCCUUUCUGACAAUAAAAUAUUUUUCCCCUAUCAAUGGACUAUUUUGAGCAUGCAUUUGACUUAUGUCUUUUAUUAUAAUAUUAUUGUGAUAUUGAGAUACAACAUGUAAAGACAUAAGAUGAGUCUCUUUUGGAGACAUGUGACUUCAUUUUGAUCAGAAGCAUUAUGAAGACCGAUAUGAAUUAGCACAAUUUUGAUCACAUUUGGUGCUAAGUUCAUACCACAUACUACCACAUUGGUUGGAGGAUGGGGAUCAUGUCGAUAGAGAUGUUGACAUUUGUAGCUAUGGAAUAGUCUUACAUCGCGUAAUUGGUGUAAUGACUUCCAUGUUCGGUAUUAAUAUUAUUGUUGGACCGGAUCAUGUUACGUAAGGUGACAUCAUUCGAGUCAUACUUUUGUGGCCACUAAUGUAGUCUAACCCAAGUGUUAAAACUUUGUUAUGGCAAUCAAAUGUUUGUCCAAGUGGGAAAAUGUUGAAAUAAUUAAUAAUUCCAUAUGUGGGCUUCACAUUCGAUUGUAAAUUUUACGGGUUAGAUGUAUGGCUCAUAAUGAUAUUUGUGUUUGGGCCAAAUUUAUUAAGUGAUCAAUUGUAUCUUUUACACCUUACGGAUUGUAAUUAAUUUGAUGUGGUAAUUUAAAGUAUGUGGGUCGAAAAUAAACCCUAAUUAGAAUUCUAGUCGUAAUGGGACGGUUCAAUUAUUUCCUAUAUAAAGGUUAGGUCUCCUCUCCUCUCCAUAAAUUUUUUAUUGGCUUGCCCCCAUUGAUAGCUAAUACUUUUGUGAGGAGCAAAGAGGGAAAGAUCUUGGCUGCUAUUACAACUAUCAUUCAUAUCAACAAUGACUUUCGUAAGUAUGAAUUUGUUUUAUUAAUUCAUUAUUUGGUGAUUCUUGAUUCUUAGCAUAAUUACAAAUAAAUUUCAACAAUUGGAACUUAUUACUUUUACGAAACUUAAGUUUAUGGUUAUGAGAAAGCCCCUUAUUCUAUGAUAGCUGAAAAGCUAAUUGUACAGUUUCAAUAGUUUCACGACACAUCCUAUACUCUUCUUGGCUGUAUUGGUGGAGGUAUUUGCGGUGCUCUGAGGUAGUGGCGAUGUUGGUGGUGCUAGUUGUUUUUUGGUAGAGGA